CAGUGGCCGCAGCGCUAGCGCAUUUUAUGUUUCUGGCAAGACAAGAGCGGAGUCGUUACCCCGUAGAUUCGUCUCAGUGCGGCACCCGUUCACCGUUCCUUCCAGGAUAGCACCUGGUGAAGGUCAGAGGAGUCGCGGACCUGUCCAAAGUUGAUCUGAAGAAAACAGGACUCUCAAUGACAAAUAUCCGAAAGUAUUACUGAGAGUAAGCUUCAUUUUGUGGAACAAUGAAGGAAGGUGUUCUAGUUUUAAAAGACCUGGAUCUGCUAUCUGUUGAGAAUUCUGUUUCUGAUCUGCCCACCCACCAAUCUUCCUUAUUACCAGUGGUCCAAAUAUAUGAGAAGUUUGGCCGGGACUAAGGGUACAUCUGCUGCCAACGUCAGAAUGUCCAAGCCACGUGGCUCGA
This 406-nucleotide long non-coding RNA is filed under the name Equus asinus (donkey). RNAcentral describes it as "lncRNA (ENSEASG00005035475.1)". The record is from RNAcentral. Lineage: Eukaryota; Metazoa; Chordata; Mammalia; Perissodactyla; Equidae.